RNAcentral lists this ribosomal RNA (253 nucleotides) under uncultured bacterium. RNAcentral describes it as "partial 16S ribosomal RNA". It matches the Rfam family "Bacterial small subunit ribosomal RNA", at positions 524 to 776 of the family's 1533-position model. The record is from RNAcentral.
UACGUAGGGGGCAAGCGUUGUCCGGAAUUAUUGGGCGUAAAGAGCGUGUAGGCGGUCCGGUAAGUCAGCUGUGAAAGUCAAGGGCUCAACCCUUGAAUGCCGGUUGAUACUGUCGGGCUAGAGUCCGGAAGAGGCGAGUGGAAUUCCUGGUGUAGCGGUGAAAUGCGCAGAUAUCAGGAGGAACACCAAUGGCGAAGGCAGCUCGCUGGGACGGUACUGACGCUGAGGCGCGAAAGCGUGGGGAGCAAACAGG